UUGAUAACAUGUCUGCAGGUGAACUCUAU
This 29-nucleotide non-coding RNA is filed under the name Rattus norvegicus (Norway rat). Lineage: Eukaryota; Metazoa; Chordata; Mammalia; Rodentia; Muridae. The record is from RNAcentral.